AUACGGAGGGUCCGAGCGUUAAUCGGAAUUACUGGGCGUAAAGCGUACGUAGGUGGCUUGAUAAGUCGGAUGUGAAAGCCCUGGGCUCAACCUGGGAACUGCAUUCGAUACUGUCAGGCUAGAGUAUAGUAGAGGGAAGUGGAAUUCCGGGUGUAGCGGUGAAAUGCGUAGAUAUCCGGAGGAACACCAGUGGCGAAGGCGGCUUCCUGGACUAAUACUGACACUGAGGUACGAAAGCGUGGGGAGCAAACAGGAUUAGAAACCCCAGUAGUCC
RNAcentral lists this ribosomal RNA (274 nucleotides) under uncultured bacterium. Its description in RNAcentral is "partial 16S ribosomal RNA". It matches the Rfam family "Bacterial small subunit ribosomal RNA", at positions 523 to 796 of the family's 1533-position model. The record is from RNAcentral.